GUCCAGGGGCGGGAUUCGAACCCACAACCUUCUGCUUACCGGGCAGGUGCCAUGUCCACUAGGCUACCCUGGA
Molecule: transfer RNA, 73 nt
Filed under: Cordylochernes scorpioides
Lineage: Eukaryota; Metazoa; Arthropoda; Arachnida; Pseudoscorpiones; Chernetidae
Description: tRNA-Thr
Source: RNAcentral